GAUGAACGCUGGCGGCGUGCCUAAUACAUGCAAGUCGAGCGAACAGACGAGGAGCUUGCUCCUCUGACGUUAGCGGCGGACGGGUGAGUAACACGUGGAUAACCUACCUAUAAGACUGGGAUAACUUCGGGAAACCGGAGCUAAUACCGGAUAAUAUAUUGAACCGCAUGGUUCAAUAGUGAAAGACGGUUUUGCUGUCACUUAUAGAUGGAUCCGCGCCGCAUUAGCUAGUUGGUAAGGUAACGGCUUACCAAGGCAACGAUGCGUAGCCGACCUGAGAGGGUGAGAGGGCCAAAUGGGAAUGAGACAAGGGGCAAACACCCAAGGGAGGGGAAAGGAGGGGAACUUUCCAAAAAGGGGAAAGCCUGAAGGAGAAAAGCCGCGUGAGUGAGGAAGGGCUUCGGAUAGGAAAAAACUGUUAUUAGGGAAGAACAAAUGUGUAAGUAACUAUGCACGUCUUGACGGUACCUAAUCAGAAAGCCACGGCUAACUACGUG
This 497-nucleotide ribosomal RNA is filed under the name uncultured bacterium. Its description in RNAcentral is "partial 16S ribosomal RNA". It matches the Rfam family "Bacterial small subunit ribosomal RNA", at positions 28 to 507 of the family's 1533-position model. The record is from RNAcentral.